GAUGAACGCUGGCGGCGUGCUUAACACAUGCAAGUCGAACGAUGAAGCUCAGCUUGCUGGGUGGAUUAGUGGCGAACGGGUGAGUAACACGUGAGUAACCUGCCCUUAACUCUGGGAUAAGCCUGGGAAACUAGGUCUAAUACCGGAUAGGAGCGCCUACCGCAUGGUGGGUGUUGGAAAGAUUUAUCGGUUUUGGAUGGACUCGCGGCCUAUCAGCUUGUUGGUGAGGUAAUGGCUCACCAAGGCGACGACGGGUAGCCGGCCUGAGAGGGUGACCGGCCACACUGGGACUGAGACACGGCCCAGACUCCUACGGGAGGCAGCAGUGGGGAAUAUUGCACAAUGGGCGAAAGCCUGAUGCAGCGACGCCGCGUGAGGGAUGACGGCCUUCGGGUUGUAAACCUCUUUCAGUAGGGAAGAAGCGAAAGUGACGGUACCUGCAGGAGAAGCACCGGCUAACUACGUG
Molecule: ribosomal RNA, 466 nt
Filed under: uncultured bacterium
Lineage: Bacteria
Description: partial 16S ribosomal RNA
Rfam family: Bacterial small subunit ribosomal RNA
Source: RNAcentral